RNAcentral lists this ribosomal RNA (234 nucleotides) under uncultured Alphaproteobacteria bacterium. RNAcentral's name for it is "partial 16S ribosomal RNA". It matches the Rfam family "Bacterial small subunit ribosomal RNA", at positions 88 to 339 of the family's 1533-position model. Lineage: Bacteria; Pseudomonadati; Pseudomonadota; Alphaproteobacteria. The record is from RNAcentral.
GGGGUUAGUGGCGCACGGGUGCGUAACGCGUGGGAAUCUGCCCUUGGGUUCGGAAUAACUCGCCGAAAGGCGUGCUAAUACCGGAUGAUGUCGAAAGACCAAAGAUUUAUCGCCCAAGGAUGAGCCCGCGUAAGAUUAGGUAGUUGGUGAGGUAAAGGCUCACCAAGCCGACGAUCUUUAGCUGGUCUGAGAGGAUGAUCAGCCACACUGGGACUGAGACACGGACCAGACUCC